RNAcentral lists this ribosomal RNA (287 nucleotides) under uncultured bacterium. RNAcentral's name for it is "partial 16S ribosomal RNA". It matches the Rfam family "Bacterial small subunit ribosomal RNA", at positions 478 to 764 of the family's 1533-position model. The record is from RNAcentral.
CCUAAUCAGAAAGCCACGGCUAACUACGUGCCAGCAGCCGCGGUAAUACGUAGGUGGCAAGCGUUAUCCGGAAUUAUUGGGCGUAAAGCGCGCGUAGGCGGUUUUUUAAGUCUGAUGUGAAAGCCCNCGGCUCAACCGUGGAGGGUCAUUGGACACUGGAAAACUUGAGUGCAGAAGAGGAGACUGGAAUUCCAUGUGUAGCGGUGAAAUGCGCAGAGAUAUGGAGGAACACCAGUGGCGAAGGCGACAUUCUGGUCUGUAACUGACGCUGAUGUGCGAAAGCGUGG